Molecule: ribosomal RNA, 497 nt
Filed under: uncultured bacterium
Lineage: Bacteria
Description: partial 16S ribosomal RNA
Rfam family: Bacterial small subunit ribosomal RNA
Source: RNAcentral
GAUGAACGCUGGCGGCGUGCCUAAUACAUGCAAGUCGAGCGAACAGAUGAGGAGCUUGCUCCUCUGACGUUAGCGGCGGACGGGUGAGUAACACGUGGAUAACCUACCUAUAAGACUGGGAUAACUUCGGGAAACCGGAGCUAAUACCGGAUAAUAUAUUGAACCGCAUGGUUCAAUAGUGAAAGACGGUUUUGCUGUCACUUAUAGAUGGAUCCGCGCCGCAUUAGCUAGUUGGUAAGGUAACGGCUUACCAAGGCGACGAUGCGUAGCCGACCUGAGAGGGUGAUCGGCCACACUGGAACUGAGACACGGUCCAGACUCCUGCGGGAGGCAGCAGUAGGGAAUCUUCCGCAAUGGGCGAAAGCCUGACGGAGCAACGCCGCGUGAGAGAUGAAGGUCUUCGGAUCGUAAAACUCUGUUAUUAGGGAAGAACAAAUGUGUAAGUAACUAUGCACGUCUUGACGGUACCUAAUCAGAAAGCCACGGCUAACUACGUG